GUGACAGUUAAUUUUUUUAGCAGUAGAGCAUAAGCUAGAAUCAAUUUUUAUGUAUAGAUUAGGAUUUAAAUGGUGUCCAUUAAGCUUUAUGUAUAUAUUAGGCUUUAAACGGUGGCCGUUAAGGCUAAGGUUAUAAGGUUAUAAGGUUGUUUCCUAAUAUAAGGUUAUAAGGUUAAACGGUGGCCAUUAAAGUUAUAAGGUUGUUUAUUAAAUGGUGGCCGUUAAAUUUUAUGUAUAGAUUAGGCUUUAAAUGGUGACCGUUAAGGCUAAGGUUAUAAGGUUGUUUACUUAACGGUGGCCGUUAAGGUUAUAAGGUUAUAAGGUUGUUUCCUAAUAAAAGGUUAUAAGGUUAAACGGUGGUUGUUAAGGUUAUAAGGUUGGUUUCUAAUAUAAGGUUAUAAGGUUAAACGGUGGCUGUUAAGGUUAUAAGGUUGUUUAUUAAACAGUAUCCGCGAAGUUUUAUGUAUAGAUUAGGAUUUAAACGGUGGCCGUUAAGGCUAAGGUGAUAAGGUUAGAAGGUUGUUUGCUUAACGGUGGCCAUUAAGUUUUACUCUUAUUAAGAAAGUGUUUCUGUGAGAUCAAUUAUGGUUACACAGCGUGAAUGGAUUUCAGGAUACUUAAGGGAAAGCCAAACAACAAAGAUGGAGCAUCUAGAUGUUUUUGCUAACUUACUACAACUAUCAAAUUAAGUUCAACAAAUUAAUAACAUAUUGAUACAAGACUAAGUGUGUAUCAGGAGAUUCAAG
This 746-nucleotide long non-coding RNA is filed under the name Capsicum annuum. RNAcentral's name for it is "long non-coding RNA (CANN_LNC011306)". The record is from RNAcentral. Lineage: Eukaryota; Viridiplantae; Streptophyta; Magnoliopsida; Solanales; Solanaceae.